Carlito syrichta (Philippine tarsier) is the source of this 129-nucleotide small nucleolar RNA. Lineage: Eukaryota; Metazoa; Chordata; Mammalia; Primates; Tarsiidae. The record is from Ensembl.
GGGGUGUGCUCAGAGCAGGCGGUCUGAAGAAUGGCUCCUCUGUUUACAACAUACCCAAGAAGAAUCUGGGAUCAUUGUGACGAGAGGCACAACAUGUGUGACUUCUCAAUGAACAAAUGCUCUACACAU